This 374-nucleotide unclassified non-coding RNA is filed under the name soil metagenome. RNAcentral's name for it is "partial contains internal transcribed spacer 2 and large subunit ribosomal RNA". The stretch from base 1 to 120 matches the Rfam family "5.8S ribosomal RNA", at positions 35 to 154 of the family's 154-position model. The record is from RNAcentral.
GUUGAAGAACGUAGCGAAAUGCGAUAAUUAAUGUGAAUUGCAGAAUUCCGUGAAUCAUCGAGUCUUUGAACGCACAUUGCGCCUCAUGGCAUUCCGUGAGGCAUGCCCAUCUCAGCGUUAGAAAAUAUUCUCAAAUUUUAGUUUUGUGCUAAAAUUUGGAUCAUGUCAAGGAAGCUAUUACUAUUAUUGUGAUCGCUCUUUGGAAAUUGAUAGGUCUUUGAGUUGCUACUCAUAGAACGUGAUGAAUCUUUCUUCGUUCUAUUGUAAUUCACUCUGGUAGUCCUAAAACUUGUAUGCCUGUGGCAUAUCUUGUAAUUUGACCUGAGAUUGGGUAGGGAUACCCGCUGAACUUAAGCAUAUCAAUAAGCGGAGGA